GACGAACGCUGGCGGCGUGCUUAACGCAUGCAAGUCGAACGGAAAGGCCCUGCUUUUGUGGGGUGCUCGAGUGGCGAACGGGUGAGUAACACGUGAGUAACCUGCCCUUGACUUUGGGAUAACUUCAGGAAACUGGGGCUAAUACCGGAUAGGAGCUCCUGCUGCAUGGUGGGGGUUGGAAAGCUUCGGCGGUUGGGGAUGGACUCGCGGCUUAUCAGCUUGUUGGUGGGGUAGUGGCUUACCAAGGCUUUGACGGGUAGCCGGCCUGAGAGGGUGACCGGCCACAUUGGGACUGAGAUACGGCCCAGACUCCUACGGGAGGCAGCAGUGGGGAAUAUUGCACAAUGGGCGGAAGCCUGAUGCAGCAACGCCGCGUGCGGGAUGACGGCCUUCGGGUUGUAAACCGCUUUCGCCUGUGACGAAGCGUGAGUGACGGUAAUGGGUAAAGAAGCACCGGCUAACUACGUGCCAGCAGCCGCGGUGAUACGUAGGGUGCGAGCGUUGUCCGGAUUUAUUGGGCGUAAAGGGCUCGUAGGUGGUUGAUCGCGUCGGAAGUGUAAUCUUGGGGCUUAACCCUGAGCGUGCUUUCGAUACGGGUUGACUUGAGGAAGGUAGGGGAGAAUGGAAUUCCUGGUGGAGCGGUGGAAUGCGCAGAUAUCAGGAGGAACACCAGUGGCGAAGGCGGUUCUCUGGGCCUUUCCUGACGCUGAGGAGCGAAAGCGUGGGGAGCGAACAGGCUUAGAUACCCUGGUAGUCCACGCUGUAAACGGUGGGUACUAGGUGUGGGGUCCAUUCCACGGGUUCCGUGCCGUAGCUAACGCUUUAAGUACCCCGCCUGGGGAGUACGGCCGCAAGGCUAAAACUCAAAGGAAUUGACGGGGCCCCGCACAAGCGGCGGAGCAUGCGGAUUAAUUCGAUGCAACGCGUAGAACCUUACCUGGGUUUGACAUGGAUCGGGAGUGCUCAGAGAUGGGUGUGCCUCUUUUGGGGUCGGUUCACAGGUGGUGCAUGGCUGUCGUCAGCUCGUGUCGUGAGAUGUUGGGUUAAGUCCCGCAACGAGCGCAACCCUUGUUCACUGUUGCCAGCACGUUAUGGUGGGGACUCAGUGGAGACCGCCGGGGUCAACUCGGAGGAAGGUGGGGAUGACGUCAAGUCAUCAUGCCCCUUAUGUCCAGGGCUUCACGCAUGCUACAAUGGCUGGUACAGAGAGUGGCGAGCCUGUGAGGGUGAGCGAAUCUCGGAAAGCCGGUCUCAGUUCGGAUUGGGGUCUGCAACUCGACCUCAUGAAGUCGGAGUCGCUAGUAAUCGCAGAUCAGCAACGCUGCGGUGAAUACGUUCCCGGG
This 1343-nucleotide ribosomal RNA is filed under the name uncultured bacterium. RNAcentral describes it as "16S ribosomal RNA". It matches the Rfam family "Bacterial small subunit ribosomal RNA", at positions 28 to 1378 of the family's 1533-position model. The record is from RNAcentral.